AAACAAAUAAUAAUAUUUUACAUAACCAACCACUUCUAAAGAUUAAAAAAACCCCUACGAUUAAAAACCUCAGGUCCCUCAGGCAAUCAUACCAGAUAUUGAAACAAAGCAAUAACAUAAGGACUGCAGUAUUCAUUUUAUUUUUAUAUUAUUUAUUUAUUCUUCCUUAGUUUCUUGAGAUUAUCAUCCGCUGAGGGUGGAAGGGGAGUGAGCAGACACACUCAGGAGGUGUCUUGAGAUUAUCAUCCGCUGAGGGUGGAAGGGGAUAGAGCACACACUCGGAAGGUGUCUUGAGAUUAUCAUCCGCUGAGGGUGGAAGGGGAUAGAGCACACACUCGGAAGGUGUCUUGAGGCUCAGGGAGUUAUCAAUUAUAGAAUGUUGUUGAGUUGGAGGAG
This 396-nucleotide long non-coding RNA is filed under the name Homo sapiens (human). Its description in RNAcentral is "HSALNT0384739". Lineage: Eukaryota; Metazoa; Chordata; Mammalia; Primates; Hominidae. The record is from RNAcentral.